This 442-nucleotide ribosomal RNA is filed under the name uncultured bacterium. Its description in RNAcentral is "partial 16S ribosomal RNA". It matches the Rfam family "Bacterial small subunit ribosomal RNA", at positions 338 to 795 of the family's 1533-position model. The record is from RNAcentral.
CCUACGGGGGGCAGCAGUGGGGAAUAUUGGGCAAUGGGCGCAAGCCUGACCCAGCAACGCCGCGUGAAGGAAGAAGGCUUUCGGGUUGUAAACUUCUUUUGUCAGGGAAGAGUAGAAGACGGUACCUGACGAAUAAGCCACGGCUAACUACGUGCCAGCAGCCGCGGUAAUACGUAGGUGGCAAGCGUUGUCCGGAUUUACUGGGUGUAAAGGGCGUGUAGCCGGGUUGACAAGUCAGAUGUGAAAUCCUGCGGCUUAACCGCAGAACUGCAUUUGAAACUGUUGAUCUUGAGUACUGGAGAGGCAGACGGAAUUCCGAGUGUAGCGGUGAAAUGCGUAGAUAUUAGGGGGGACACCAGUGGCGAAGGCGGUCUGCUGGACAGCAACUGACGGUGAGGCGCGAAAGCGUGGGGAGCAAACAGGAUUAGAUACCCUUGUAGUC